Molecule: ribosomal RNA, 397 nt
Filed under: uncultured bacterium
Lineage: Bacteria
Description: bacterial SSU rRNA
Rfam family: Bacterial small subunit ribosomal RNA
Source: RNAcentral
MCGGGGGGAACGCGAAGAACCUUACCUGCUCUUGACAUCUCCCUGACCGGCAAGUAAUGUUGCCUUUCCUUCGGGACAGGGAUGACAGGUGGUGCAUGGUUGUCGUCAGCUCGUGUCGUGAGAUGUUGGGUUAAGUCCCGCAACGAGCGCAACCCCUAUCUUUAGUAGCCAGCGGUYAGGCCGGGCACUCUAGRGAGACUGCCAGGGAUAACCUGGAGGAAGGUGGGGAUGACGUCAAAUCAUCAUGCCCCUUAUGAGCAGGGCUACACACGUGCUACAAUGGCGUAAACAAAGGGAGGCAGAACCGCGAGGUSGAGCAAAUCCCAAAAAUAACGUCUCAGUUSGGAUUGUAGUCUGCAACUCGACUACAUGAAGCUGGAAUCGCUAGUAAUCGCGA